RNAcentral lists this non-coding RNA (27 nucleotides) under Homo sapiens (human). The record is from RNAcentral. Lineage: Eukaryota; Metazoa; Chordata; Mammalia; Primates; Hominidae.
CAGCGUGUUGGUACCUGGGGCCUGUGA